AGCGAACGCUGGCGGCAGGCCUAACACAUGCAAGUCGAACGAAGUCUUCGGACUUAGUGGCGGACGGGUGAGUAACACGUGGGAACGUGCCUUUAGGUUCGGAAUAACUCAGGGAAACUUGUGCUAAUACCGAAUGUGCCCUUCGGGGAAAGAUUUAUCGCCUUUAGAGCGGCCCGCGUCUGAUUAGCUAGUUGGUGAGGUAAAGGCUCACCAAGGCGACGAUCAGUAGCUGGUCUGAGAGGAUGAUCAGCCACAUUGGGACUGAGACACGGCCCAAACUCCUACGGGAGGCAGCAGUGGGGAAUCUUGCGCAAUGGGCGAAAGCCUGACGCAGCCAUGCCGCGUGAAUGAUGAGGGUCUUAGGAUUGUAAAAUUCUUUCACCGGGGACGAUAAUGACGGUACCCGGAGAAGAAGCCCCGGCUAACUUCGUGCCAGCCGCCGCGGUAA
Molecule: ribosomal RNA, 448 nt
Filed under: uncultured bacterium
Lineage: Bacteria
Description: partial 16S ribosomal RNA
Rfam family: Bacterial small subunit ribosomal RNA
Source: RNAcentral